This 267-nucleotide long non-coding RNA is filed under the name Carica papaya (papaya). RNAcentral describes it as "long non-coding RNA (CPAP_LNC001544)". Lineage: Eukaryota; Viridiplantae; Streptophyta; Magnoliopsida; Brassicales; Caricaceae. The record is from RNAcentral.
AAAAUUUAAAUGAAAUGUAUGUAUUAAAAAUCUCAAAUGCGGAAGCGUAAUAAAAAUUUUGAUUAACAUCCCUUACACAAUAACCAAAACGUACUCAAAACAUGAAAAAACAAACUAACUAAAAGAGAUACUCGAAAUAAGAACUAUAGAUAUAACUAUGAAGUCUUUAGGCGUCCCCUUCCCCGUCUUCCUGCGGAACGGGCUCGGGAACAACGUAUUCUUGAUAUGAAAUGGUUAAAUAAGGAAUGAACUACACCAACCCAGUAA